This 1040-nucleotide ribosomal RNA is filed under the name uncultured Gallionella sp. Its description in RNAcentral is "bacterial SSU rRNA". It matches the Rfam family "Bacterial small subunit ribosomal RNA", at positions 40 to 1072 of the family's 1533-position model. The record is from RNAcentral. Lineage: Bacteria; Pseudomonadati; Pseudomonadota; Betaproteobacteria; Nitrosomonadales; Gallionellaceae.
CGGGGAUGCUUUUACCAUGCAAGUCGAACGGCAGCACGGGGCAACCUGGUGGCGAGUGGCGAACGGGUGAGUAACAUAUCGGAACAUGUCCGGAAGUGGGGGAUAACGUAGCGAAAGUUACGCUAAUACCGCAUAUGCCCUGAGGGGGAAAGGGGGGGAUCGCAAGACCUCUCGCUUUCGGAGUGGCCGAUAUCGGAUUAGCUAGUAGGCGAGGUAAAGGCUCACCUAGGCGACGAUCCGUAGCUGGUCUGAGAGGACGACCAGCCACACUGGAACUGAGACACGGUCCAGACUCCUACGGGAGGCAGCAGUGGGGAAUUUUGGACAAUGGGGGCAACCCUGAUCCAGCCAUACCGCGUGAGUGAAGAAGGCCUUCGGGUUGUAAAGCUCUUUCGGCAGGAAAGAAAACGUGCAGGCUAAUAUCCUGUAUGGAUGACGGUACCUGAAGAAGAAGCACCGGCUAACUACGUGCCAGCAGCCGCGGUAAUACGUAGGGUGCGAGCGUUAAUCGGAAUUACUGGGCGUAAAGCGUGCGCAGGCGGUUCCGCAAGACAGAUGUGAAAUCCCCGGGCUUAACCUGGGAACUGCAUUUGUGACUGCGAGACUAGAGUGUAGCAGAGGGGGGUAGAAUUCCACGUGUAGCAGUGAAAUGCGUAGAUAUGUGGAGGAAUACCGAUGGCGAAGGCAGCCCCCUGGGCUAACACUGACGCUCAUGCACGAAAGCGUGGGGAGCAAACAGGAUUAGAUACCCUGGUAGUCCACGCCCUAAACGAUGUCAACUAGGUGUUGGGGAAGGAGACUUCUUUAGUACCGCAGCUAACGCGUGAAGUUGACCGCCUGGGGAGUACGGUCGCAAGAUUAAAACUCAAAGGAAUUGACGGGGACCCGCACAAGCGGUGGGAUUAUGUGGAUUAAUUCGAUGCAACGCGAAAAACCUUACCUACCCUUGACAUGUCAGGAAGAUUUCAGAGAUGAGAUUGUGCCCGAAAGGGAACCUGAACACAGGUGCUGCAUGGCUGUCGUCAGCUCGUGUCGUGAGA